UCCAGAGAAUUUAGCAGAGAUGCUUUAGUGCCUUCGGGAACUCUGAGACAGGUGCUGCAUGGCUGUCGUCAGCUCGUGUUGUGAAAUGUUGGGUUAAGUCCCGCAACGAGCGCAACCCUUAUCCUUUGUUGCCAGCACGUAAUGGUGGGAACUCAAAGGAGACUGCCGGUGAUAAACCGGAGGAAGGUGGGGAUGACGUCAAGUCAUCAUGGCCCUUACGAGUAGGGCUACACACGUGCUACAAUGGCGCAUACAAAGAGAAGCGACCUCGCGAGAGCAAGCGGACCUCAUAAAGUGCGUCGUAGUCCGGAUUGGAGUCUGCAACUCGACUCCAUGAAGUCGGAAUCGCUAGUAAUCGUAAAUCAGAAUGUUACGGUGAAUACGUUCCCGGGCCUUGUACACACCGCCCGUCACACCAUGGGAGUGGGUUGCAAAAGAAGUAGAUAGCUUAACCUUCGGGAGGGCGUUUACCACUUUGUGAUUCAUGACUGGGGUGAAGUCGUAACAAGGUAAGCGUAGUGCU
This 523-nucleotide ribosomal RNA is filed under the name uncultured bacterium. RNAcentral's name for it is "bacterial SSU rRNA". It matches the Rfam family "Bacterial small subunit ribosomal RNA", at positions 987 to 1509 of the family's 1533-position model. The record is from RNAcentral.